Molecule: ribosomal RNA, 440 nt
Filed under: uncultured bacterium
Lineage: Bacteria
Description: partial 16S ribosomal RNA
Rfam family: Bacterial small subunit ribosomal RNA
Source: RNAcentral
CCUACGGGUGGCAGCAGUAGGGAAUAUUGCUCAAUGGGGGAAACCCUGAAGCAGCAACGCCGCGUGGAGGAUGAAGGUUUUAGGAUUGUAAACUCCUUUUGUUAGAGAAGAUAAUGACGGUAUCUAACGAAUAAGCACCGGCUAACUCCGUGCCAGCAGCCGCGGUAAUACGGAGGGUGCAAGCGUUACCCGGAAUCACUGGGCGUAAAGGGCGCGUAGGCGGGAUAGCAAGUCAGAUGUGAAAUCCUAUGGCUUAACCAUAGAACUGCAUUUGAAACUGUUAUUAUAGAGUAUGGGAGAGGUAGGUGGAAUUCUUGGUGUAGGGGUAAAAUCCGUAGAGAUCAAGAGGAAUACUCAUUGCGAAGGCGACCUGCUAGAACAUAACUGACGCUGAUGCGCGAAAGCGUGGGGAGCAAACAGGAUUAGAUACCCCUGUAGUC